ACGGAAGGCAGCAGUGGGGAAUAUUGCACAAUGGGGGAAACCCUGAUGCAGCGACGCCGCGUGAGUGAAGAAGUAUUUCGGUAUGUAAAGCUCUAUCAGCAAGGAAGAAAAUGACGGUACUUGACUAAGAAGCCCCGGCUAACUACGUGCCAGCAGCCGCGGUAAUACGUAGGGGGCAAGCGUUAUCCGGAUUUACUGGGUGCAAAGGGAGCGUAGACGGUAAUGCAAGUCAGAAGUGAAAGCCCAAGGCUCAACCAUGGGACUGCUUUUGAAACUGUAAUACUAGAGUGCAGGAGAGGUAAGUGGAAUUCCUAGUGUAGCGGUGAAAUGCGUAGAUAUUGGGAGGAACACCGGUGGCGAAGGCGGCUUACUGGACGAUUACUGACGCUGAGGCUCGAAAGCGUGGGGAGCAAACAGGAUUAGAUACCCUGGUA
This 434-nucleotide ribosomal RNA is filed under the name uncultured Lachnospiraceae bacterium. RNAcentral describes it as "partial 16S ribosomal RNA". It matches the Rfam family "Bacterial small subunit ribosomal RNA", at positions 341 to 792 of the family's 1533-position model. The record is from RNAcentral. Lineage: Bacteria; Bacillati; Bacillota; Clostridia; Lachnospirales; Lachnospiraceae.